This 29-nucleotide small RNA is filed under the name Bombyx mori (domestic silkworm). RNAcentral describes it as "ovarian small RNA-28164". Lineage: Eukaryota; Metazoa; Arthropoda; Insecta; Lepidoptera; Bombycidae. The record is from RNAcentral.
UCGAACUCGGCGAGAUGUCUAUUCGGAGA